RNAcentral lists this ribosomal RNA (105 nucleotides) under Zingiber officinale. Lineage: Eukaryota; Viridiplantae; Streptophyta; Magnoliopsida; Zingiberales; Zingiberaceae. The record is from RNAcentral.
GCGAUCAUACCAACGCAAAUGCACUGAAUCUAAUCAGAACUAUGAAGCUAAGUGUGCUUAGGAGAGAGUAGUACUAAGAUGAGUGACCCCAGGGUGGUGGUGACU